RNAcentral lists this ribosomal RNA (563 nucleotides) under uncultured bacterium. RNAcentral's name for it is "partial 16S ribosomal RNA". It matches the Rfam family "Bacterial small subunit ribosomal RNA", at positions 355 to 912 of the family's 1533-position model. The record is from RNAcentral.
UGGGGAAUUUUGGACAAUGGGGGCAACCCUGAUCCAGCAAUGCCGCGUGUGUGAAGAAGGCCUUCGGGUUGUAAAGCACUUUUGUCCGGGAAGAAAUCCCCUGCCCUAAUACGGCGGGGGGAUGACGGUACCGGAAGAAUAAGCACCGGCUAACUACGUGCCAGCAGCCGCGGUAAUACGUAGGGUGCGAGCGUUAAUCGGAAUUACUGGGCGUAAAGCGUGCGCAGGCGGUGAUGUAAGACCGAUGUGAAAUCCCCGGGCUCAACCUGGGAACUGCAUUGGUGACUGCAUUGCUCGAGUAUGGCAGAGGGGGGUGGAAUUCCACGUGUAGCAGUGAAAUGCGUAGAGAUGUGGAGGAACACCGAUGGCGAAGGCAGCCCCCUGGGCCAAUACUGACGCUCAUGCACGAAAGCGUGGGGAGCAAACAGGAUUAGAUACCCUGGUAGUCCACGCCCUAAACGAUGUCAACUGGUUGUCGGGCCUUCAUUGGCCUGGUAACGUAGCUAACGCGUGAAGUUGACCGCCUGGGGAGUACGUCGCAAGAUUAAAACUCAAAUGAAUUG